RNAcentral lists this transfer RNA (76 nucleotides) under Camelus bactrianus (Bactrian camel). It matches the Rfam family "tRNA". Rfam says of the family: Transfer RNA (tRNA) molecules are approximately 80 nucleotides in length. Their secondary structure includes four short double-helical elements and three loops (D, anti-codon, and T loops). Further hydrogen bonds mediate the characteristic L-shaped molecular structure. tRNAs have two regions of fundamental functional importance: the anti-codon, which is responsible for specific mRNA codon recognition, and the 3' end, to which the tRNAs corresponding amino acid is attached (by aminoacyl-tRNA synthetases). tRNAs cope with the degeneracy of the genetic code in two manners: having more than one tRNA (with a specific anti-codon) for a particular amino acid; and 'wobble' base-pairing, i.e. permitting non-standard base-pairing at the 3rd anti-codon position. Lineage: Eukaryota; Metazoa; Chordata; Mammalia; Artiodactyla; Camelidae. The record is from Rfam by way of RNAcentral. RNAcentral also lists the same sequence under 1 other name.
GAGGAUAUAGCUCAGUGGUAGAGUACAUGCUUAAUUAGCAUGCAGAAGGUCCUGAGUCCAAUCCCCAGUACCUCCA